Molecule: ribosomal RNA, 492 nt
Filed under: uncultured bacterium
Lineage: Bacteria
Description: partial 16S ribosomal RNA
Rfam family: Bacterial small subunit ribosomal RNA
Source: RNAcentral
AGUGAACGCUGGCGGUAGGCCUAACACAUGCGAGUCGAACGGCAGCACAGUAAGAGCUUGCUCUUACGGGUGGCGAGUGGCGGACGGGUGAGGAAUACAUCGGAAUCUACUUUUUAGGGGGGGAUAACGUAGGGACACUUACGCCAAUACCGCAUACGACCUACGGGUGAAAGCAGGGGAUCUUCGGACCUUGCCCGAUUGUAUGAGCCGAUGUCGGAUUAGCUAGUUGGCGGGGUAAAGGCCCACCAAGGCGACGAUCCGUAGCUGGUCUGAGAGGAUGAUCAGCCACACUGGAACUGAGACACGGUCCAGACUCCUACGGGAGGCAGCAGUGGAGAAUAUUGGACAAUGGGCGGAAGCCUGAUCCAGCCACACCGCGUGGGUGAAGAAGGCCUUCGGGUCGUAAAGCCCUUUUGUUGGGAAAGAAGAGCAGCAAGUUAAUACCUCGCUGUUCUGACGGUACCCAAAGAAGAAGCACCGGCUAACUUCGUG